UUUCUUAUAUGUUCAUUGCAGUAGGUUUUUUUUUUUUUUUUUCUUUUGUAGACUAUGGUAUUGUGUCUGAAAAAAUAUCAAAAAUAUUUUGUCACAAAUCUUGAAUUUGGUUAAUUAUUUAUGUUUGUCAAAAUAUUUGGCUUUACUGAUUGAUCAUUUGUUGUCCAUUGUUUUAUGAAUCAUUUUUAUAUGGUAUAUGAAUAUAAACACAGUUGAUCAUUUUUAACCCUUUAGCAUUCAGAUCACUCUGUGAAUUGUGAUGCCUGUUUAACUACAUUGUUUUGAAUUAAUCAUACAUUAACAUUUUGAAAAUUUCAAUGAUCAUUUAGUUUUAAAAUGACACUGUAGGGUACAUGUUAAUAAAACAGGUACCACAUUUUCCAGCUUACAAGUGAAAAUUUUCAGGCUAAAGCUAGGUUAACUUUUUGCAAGACCAAAAGUUCCCUCUGAAAUACAGCAGGAUUUGGAAAUAUAGAUAUUUGGAUGUUUACACUAUAUACUGUGUUGGCUUGUAUGGUGAAACGUCUGGGUCAGUUCAAAUAAUAAAGGACUAAAUUACAUAUAUGUAAUAUUUUCCCAAUGCUUGUUGAUGUCACCAUUCUUUACUCUCCAUUGUAAGUUGUCAUGUCAAUGUACUUGCCAAAAUAUUGGUGAAAUAAACUCUAUUUUUACACUUGAA
Long non-coding RNA from Octopus sinensis (East Asian common octopus), 679 nucleotides. RefSeq lists it as uncharacterized. Lineage: Eukaryota; Metazoa; Mollusca; Cephalopoda; Octopoda; Octopodidae. The transcript is spliced from 2 exons. The record is from RefSeq and is a predicted model, not a curated record.